This 243-nucleotide ribosomal RNA is filed under the name Staphylococcus epidermidis. RNAcentral describes it as "partial 16S ribosomal RNA". It matches the Rfam family "Bacterial small subunit ribosomal RNA", at positions 1126 to 1368 of the family's 1533-position model. The record is from RNAcentral. Lineage: Bacteria; Bacillati; Bacillota; Bacilli; Caryophanales; Staphylococcaceae.
UUAAGUUGGGCACUCUAAGUUGACUGCCGGUGACAAACCGGAGGAAGGUGGGGAUGACGUCAAAUCAUCAUGCCCCUUAUGAUUUGGGCUACACACGUGCUACAAUGGACAAUACAAAGGGUAGCGAAACCGCGAGGUCAAGCAAAUCCCAUAAAGUUGUUCUCAGUUCGGAUUGUAGUCUGCAACUCGACUAUAUGAAGCUGGAAUCGCUAGUAAUCGUAGAUCAGCAUGCUACGGUGAAUA